UGGGGAAUAUUGGACAAUGGGCGCAAGCCUGAUCCAGCCAUGCCGCGUGAGUGAUGAAGGCCCUAGGGUUGUAAAGCUCUUUCAACGGUGAAGAUAAUGACGGUAACCGUAGAAGAAGCCCCGGCUAACUUCGUGCCAGCAGCCGCGGUAAUACGAAGGGGGCUAGAGUUGUUCGGAAUUACUGGGCGUAAAGCGCACGUAGGCGGAUACUUAAGUCAGGGGUUAAAUCCCGAGGCUCAACCUCGGAACUGCCUUUGAUACUGGGUAUCUUGAGUGCGGAAGAGGUGAGGGGAAUUCCGAGUGUAGAGGUGAAAUUCGUAGAUAUUCGGAGGAACACCAGUGGCGAAGGCGGCUCACUGGUCCGGUACUGACGCUGAGGUGCGAAAGCGUGGGGAGCAAACA
This 402-nucleotide ribosomal RNA is filed under the name uncultured prokaryote. RNAcentral's name for it is "bacterial SSU rRNA". It matches the Rfam family "Bacterial small subunit ribosomal RNA", at positions 355 to 774 of the family's 1533-position model. The record is from RNAcentral.